This is a long non-coding RNA of Phacochoerus africanus (Common warthog), 404 nucleotides long. RefSeq lists it as uncharacterized. The record is from RefSeq and is a predicted model, not a curated record. NCBI's taxonomy places the organism in Eukaryota, Metazoa, Chordata, Mammalia, Artiodactyla, Suidae. The transcript is spliced from 3 exons.
GAACGCGGUUGUUUGGAAGCCGGGAAAACGCGGUCGGGAUCCUGGAGCCCGGCUGUUCGCGGCGCUGGCUGUCGUCCCCUGCAGCUGCCGCCCUACCCGACCAAAUGGGUCUCCCGGCGGCUGCCCGCGUCCUUCCCCAGGUUCAAGAUCCGGAUCUUGGAGAGAACACAGCAGUGACUCACAGAGGUGAUGGAGGUCUGUGUGGCACUGUGCUGGCCGAACUUGCUGGAAACCUGUCCUUUGGAAAGUGCUGGAAAUCCAUCAUCUAGGGUGCUGGAUAAAGCUAUUUAUGGGAAGUUGCAGAAGCAGUGAUGAGAACCAAUCAAGUGACAAGCAUGAAGUUUAAAAACUCCUCUUUAGGAGUGGAUCCAGAAGAUGUGGUACAUAUACACAAUGGAAUAUUA